CUGUGUGGAUCUGUGUCGGUGAGAUAAAAUGAAUGUGGGUAUCAAUGCCUCCUGCUGUCAGGAUCAGUCCCUCCCCUGCCAGUGCUUCCGUGGAGGCACCAAUGAUCAUCCCCGGUGUUACCCCGUCCAUGAUCUGGGGAUUUCCGGCCUUUCCGAUACCGGAAAUUUUUCCGUCUUUAAUACCUAUAUCUGCCUUAUAAAUUCCUGUGGAAUCAAUGACCAGUGCGCUGGUAAUGACCAUGUCCAGACAUUCUUCAUCGGAAAAAGGAACGGCCUGUCCCAUACCAUCCCGG
Molecule: small RNA, 293 nt
Organism: Clostridium sp. CAG:167
Lineage: Bacteria; Bacillati; Bacillota; Clostridia; Eubacteriales; Clostridiaceae
Rfam family: 5' ureB small RNA
Source: Rfam